RNAcentral lists this ribosomal RNA (301 nucleotides) under uncultured bacterium. Its description in RNAcentral is "partial 16S ribosomal RNA". It matches the Rfam family "Bacterial small subunit ribosomal RNA", at positions 509 to 807 of the family's 1533-position model. The record is from RNAcentral.
CAGUCGCCGCGGUAAUACGUAGGUGGCAAGCGUUAUCCGGAAUUACUGGGUGUAAAGGGAGCGUAGACGGUUAAACAAGUCUGAAGUGAAAUGCCGGGGCUCAACCCCGGAGCUGCUUUGGGAACUGUAGAACUGGAGUGUCGGAGGGGUAAGCGGAAUUCCCAGUGUAGCGGUGAAAUGCGUAGAUAUUGGGAGGAACACCGGCGGCGAAGGCGGCUUACUGGACGACAACUGACGUUGAGGCUCGAAGGCGUGGGUAGCAAACAGGAUUAGAUACCCCUGUAGUCCCUGUCUCUUAUAC